CUGGUUAUAAUUUUUCAAAGUUUCACUUCCCUAAGGGUCUAGUUAGGGAAUAGUAGUAGCUCCGUUAAAACUAUACGGAAGACUACAGGGAAAUAAGACUAUGUCGUCGCGAUAGGAUAGAACAAGGACGAUACGUUGAUCGGGUUUUUUAUACGGGUUAAAUUUAAAUUUCGAAAGUACCAGAAUAGUUUAUUGUAAACGGGGACGUGGUGAACGAUCUGAGCUCUACGUAGUUCACGACCGACAUCUUGUCCGCGGUGACUCUCGGCUAUCUUACGAGCGUAUUUUUGAUAGUAGCGGGAUCUUCCGCACGGUGGAAGCUGCGUAAGAUAUAUUUGUAUCUGGAAGUUUACCAUAAAGUGUAAAUUGGCGGCGAGCAUGUUUGGACGAUCCAUCUGGAGAAGUGGGUUGUGGUGACCGGAAUGACGACGGGGAGCAGCAAGAGGACUAACGAGAAGAAGGAAAACAGCUUGUUUUAUCGCUGACAAUGAGAAAUCUCUUGAAUAUCUCGUUGGCUGCGUGCAAGCGUGGAAGAAAAAGUGUGAAAUAAAGCAAGAAGUAGCAGGGAGAAGUAGCGCGUGAAUGUGUAAAUAAGAACGUGUAAACGAAAGCGUUAAUGAAAGCGUGUUUGAAAAUGUGAAGCGUUCUGCGGGAAGCAAGUAAUGAUAAAAGCGUUGAAGUAUAGGGUGAAAGGACGAGGUGUGUAAUAAAGAUGCGUAAAUGAAAUAAACGCGUAUCUAAUCUGAAGGUGCGAAAGAUGGAGAAGGAAACGUAAUAGCGAUGUUGAUUUAGCGUGAGAGUUUAUCGAAACAUCGGUUAGCUUUGUGAAAAUAGUGAAAUAUGUAUAAAGAUCAUAGGUUAGACGCGUGGAAGUUGACGUAGGUAAGAAAGGAAUUAAAAGAGAGUAUAAAAUGAUAUAACAGGUAAUAAGUAAGGAAAUAUAAUUUUAAUUAAUUAUAAUUUAAUUUUUAGGAGACUAAAGAAUAAAUAAAGAUACGUUUAGAAGAUGUA
This is a long non-coding RNA of Bombus pyrosoma, 1011 nucleotides long. RefSeq lists it as uncharacterized. The record is from RefSeq and is a predicted model, not a curated record. Lineage: Eukaryota; Metazoa; Arthropoda; Insecta; Hymenoptera; Apidae. The transcript is spliced from 2 exons.